Molecule: long non-coding RNA, 1698 nt
Filed under: Anas platyrhynchos platyrhynchos (common mallard)
Lineage: Eukaryota; Metazoa; Chordata; Aves; Anseriformes; Anatidae
Description: lncRNA (ENSAPLG00000026698.1)
Source: RNAcentral
AAGCCAAGAAAAGUUGGGUAACCAAAAGGUUAUUUUGUUGCAUAAUUCUCGAAAACCCCAGGAGGUGUCAUCUUGAAUUACCUUACGUAAUCACCUUAGACUAAUCACCUUAUUACCAUAGUCUUUCCCCAAAUGUUUUCGUGCUCAGUCUCAAUUCCUCCUGCCUCAUUUACACACAUACAGCAACUAAUAUUGAUUAAAGUGCAUCCUUCCCCUUGGGAGGCAAAUAAAAGGUCUAGUGCCAAAACCUUGAUUUGUUCUAGUUGCUUGCACCAAACUGUAAGAUGUUGUUGCAAAUAUUGGUUUCCUAAAUGUGUUAGAUCUUCUCCUUUGUCCAGCAUUUGGUAAGGCCUGCCAUACAAUAUCUCCAAAGGGGCUUAGUUUGACCAAGUUUGCUCCUGGGGGAUGGAUGGAGCCCGUGGUAGGGAGCCGUGUGGGAGCAGUGCUUGAGGAGCUGCUGCCUUUGGCAGCCCCUGCAGGCUCACUUUGGGAAUCCCGUGUGAGGGAUGAAGUUCUUUGUUUUUUUUUUUGUUUUGUUUUGUUUUGUUUUUUUUCUGAAGAAAGCGGGUGUUUAAGAAGGAAAUGCAGAGUUGCCUUUGUUUGGCACUCGAUGGUCUUGAGGUCUCUUCCAACAUAGACAUUCUGUGAUUCUGUGAAGUCACAAACGCCAAGGCAUCACACUGGCUGGCUCUGCAGCACAGAUGCCAGGAGUGCCGCUUGGCAUGGCGGCGGCGGCGCGGUGCCCCAGCCCCAGGCCCGUCCCAGCCCCAGCGCACGUCGCCCUCUGCUCCUCCAUGGAGCCCCCCGCCGCCUCAGCAGCCCCGCGGCGGACGCCCCAUGGCGGAGCCGCCCCCGAGGAGAAGGAGCCCGCAGCCCUCUGCCCGCACCGCACUGCACCGCACCGCACCAAGCGCCGUGCAACGGCUGCCACCGCCGCGGGGGCUCCUGGUGUGAGCGGCAAGCGGUGGCAAGGGGGGGGCUGCGCUUCCUGAGUCGAGCUGCUGGACACCGGCUUGCCUGGGCAAUUGCCCAUGUUGCUGAGGAGGCAACAGAGCCAAAGCCCUUGGGGCUGAAGAUCCAGCACGGCUGGGGAGGCUUUGGACUCAGGUGCGGAAUGAAGCCAAGCAAGCUAGAGGGAAACUGUGUGCUGAAUCCCAGACUGCGUAUUAGAGCUGAUCUUCAUCUCUGCUCGGAAAAGCUUCACGGGCCAAAAGAGAAUGGAGAUGAGGAAGGCAAUGGAGAAUGAUGAGGACUAUUUGCAGUCAGCACCCGUAAGCUUUGUAAAGAAUCAGGUGCAUUUCUGUAGUGGUAGAAAGCGUAGCUGGAAAGACUUCCUAAGGACGUCAAGUCCAAUUCAUUGUUCUCAGUUAGAGCAAUCCCGUAGUUUAGACUCCUGAUAAGGUAUUUGUCUGUAGGCAGCUGCCAACUUGUCCAGCUAAUCCAAUUCAGCCUGGAAAACAAGCAAGCAAGCAAGCAAAAAGCACAGAAACCUGCAGUUUAUGGAGUGCAACUGUCUCCUUUCCAAUCUCAUGGGUUUCACCCAUUUGCUUCAGAGGACAGUACUUUGAUGCUUUCCAGGGCUAAUGGCCAAAGUUCUCAAAGCACUUUUUUUUUUUUUUCCCAUCAGUGAUAUAUACAUUUGUCAAUCUUUCCAUCUUCAUUUAGAACUCUGAAUUUAGGUUUUAGGUGAACAAGAAC